UAAAGUGGCGAACGGCUGAGUAAUACGUGGGCAACCUGCCCUUUGCACUGGGAUAGCCUCGGGAAACCGAGGUUAAUACCGGAUACUCCAUAUUUGUCGCAUGGCGAAUAUGGGAAAGCUCCGGCGGCAAAGGAUGGGCCCGCGGCCUGUUAGCUAGUUGGUGGGGUAGUGGCCUACCAAGGCAAUGAUGGGUAGCCGGGUUGAGAGACCGACCGGCCAGAUUGGGACUGAGACACGGCCCAGACUCCUACGGGAGGCAGCAGCU
This 265-nucleotide ribosomal RNA is filed under the name uncultured Atopobium sp. RNAcentral's name for it is "partial 16S ribosomal RNA". It matches the Rfam family "Bacterial small subunit ribosomal RNA", at positions 91 to 355 of the family's 1533-position model. Lineage: Bacteria; Bacillati; Actinomycetota; Coriobacteriia; Coriobacteriales; Atopobiaceae. The record is from RNAcentral.